UACGUAGGUGGCAAGCGUUGUCCGGAAUUACUGGGUGUAAAGGGCGUGUAGGCGGGGAAAUAAGUCAGAUGUGAAAUUCCAGGGCUCAACCCUGGCGCUGCAUCUGAAACUAUAUCUCUUGAGUGCUGGAGAGGAAAGCGGAAUUCCUAGUGUAGCGGUGAAAUGCGUAGAUAUUAGGAGGAACACCAGUGGCGAAGGCGGCUUUCUGGACAGUAACUGACGCUGAGGCGCGAAAGCGUGGGGAGAAAACAGG
Molecule: ribosomal RNA, 253 nt
Filed under: uncultured bacterium
Lineage: Bacteria
Description: partial 16S ribosomal RNA
Rfam family: Bacterial small subunit ribosomal RNA
Source: RNAcentral